Octodon degus (degu) is the source of this 1309-nucleotide long non-coding RNA. RefSeq lists it as uncharacterized. The transcript has 3 exons. The record is from RefSeq and is a predicted model, not a curated record. Lineage: Eukaryota; Metazoa; Chordata; Mammalia; Rodentia; Octodontidae.
GUAAUUCGAUACAGAGCGAUCUGGAAUCCAGGACAGGCCUGAUGAGUUUGAGGCAGCAUAGUUUGGACAACUGUACUGUGGAUAUCUACUGAUCUAUGGAAAGCAGCAGAGAAAUGGGAGUUAACCAACUCAAGAUCCUUUUGUUUGUCGUCUUCAAUGCUGAGACCUAGAGAAAUGAAAUAGAGCUGCAGUAGGCUCCCUCCUACUUCUCUGUCAAGUGCUCCAUGAUCAAAACCUGUUCCAAGGAACACAAAGAUGACAUGUAUGGUCCUCACAGUAGUAUCACACCUGGAAGGUGACAAAUGAUUUCAUGCAAAAUAUCACACUGCAUCAUUCAAUCAUACUGUGAAAUCUGAGCAUGGUGGCACAUGCUGAUAAUCCUGGUGCUUAGGAGGCCAUGAGGUUGAGGUCAGGCUGUGUACAUAGUAAAAGUGGGUUCAAUGCCGGUUCAGCCUAAACUACAUAGAAGAUCCUGUCUCAAGAAACAAAACCACAAAACCAUUCCAUGAGAUACUCAAUGGAAGUAUUAUGUCCGUUUUACACAUAAACAGCAUAGAGGUUGAGGAGGUCAAAUGAUUUGCUCCAAAGUAGCCCUGUAGUAUUUACAUGUUUUGAAACUCAAUCUAGUAUGUGCCCCCACUGAAAUUCAGACCCCUGGUGAGAGAAAGUAAAGAAAACAUUUACAGGAGUAUGGAUUUUUUUUUUCUUUUUCAGCAAAACUCCAAAUAGAUCAUUUGGCCAAAAUUAACAGUGGUGAUCAUUUUACAAAAGUAUUAUAAAAAUAAUCCAUUGGCCAAUUGAGCCUUUAUGUGUUUAUUUUUUAAGUUAGACAUUAUCACUUGUUUUAGGUCAUUGCAUUUUUGAGAGCAAGUCAAUACAUUGCAGGCAGGGUUUUUGCAUUGGCUCUGACAUGUUGCAAUCAUUUUUGUCUGGGAAAACAAACAAAAGUAAAUUGGCAGCAUGGUUGUUAUAUGAGCUGCUGGCAGAGGCCCAGCCCCCAGGACAUUGGCUCACCUGCCAACAAUACCUCCCUUUCAAGCAAUGCCAGCUGUUUUUAUAAGAAGUUUUCUGGAAGGAAGCUUUUGUGUUUUGCUCUAGUCAGCAGGAUCUAACUUUACUAACAGUCACGUAGAGAAUUGCAGCAGUUGAAUCAACUUGAUUCAUUCUUCUUCUGACACUGUAAAACAGCCAAGGGCAGACUGUAAAGUCUCACUCCUUGUGAAAGGUCCCUAGAAUAAAAGCCACUUGAUAAGAACUCAAAAGAAGAAAUAAAAACAGAAAGAUAUAGCACAAUUAAAAGGAAAGUGAG